This 1816-nucleotide long non-coding RNA is filed under the name Sus scrofa (pig). RNAcentral's name for it is "lncRNA (ENSSSCG00030016967.1, ENSSSCG00060073967.1)". Lineage: Eukaryota; Metazoa; Chordata; Mammalia; Artiodactyla; Suidae. The record is from RNAcentral.
UUUUUUUUUUUUUUUUUGCCUUUUCUAGGGCUGCACCCAUGGCAUAUGGAGGUUCAGCUGUAGCCUCUGACCUACACCAGAGCCACAGCAACGCGGGAUCCGAGCUGCAUCUGCAACCUACACCACAGCUCAUGGCAACGCUGGAUCCUUAACCCACUGAGCAAGGCCAGGGAUCGAACCUGCAACCUCAUGGUUCCUAGUCGGAUUUGUUAACCACCAAGCCAUGACGGGAACUCCUAGUUCUUUUUAUUUUAAUGGUUCUGUAUUUUAAUUGGGUUAGAAAAAGUGAACUCCAUAAACAACAAGUUCCUACAGAAUAGCACAGGGAUGUAUCUAUUCAAUAUCCCGAGACAAACCAUAAUGGAAAAGAAUAUAAAAAAGGGAAAUAUGUGUAUCUGUGUGUGUACAUAUAUAUAAAAUUUUAUGUAUGUAUGUGUAUACAUAUAUAAUGUAUGAAUAUAUGUAAAACUGAAUCAUUUAUGACACCUAAGAUUUUUUUAAAGUGUGUGAUUUAAAAUGAAUUAAAAUAAAAAUAUUUCCUGCUGUACAGCACAGGGAAUUAUAUCUAGUCACUUAUGAUGGAACAUGAUGGAAGAUAAUGCGAGAGAAAGAAUGUAUAUAUAUGUGUGACUGGGUCACUUUGCUGUACAGUAGAAACUGACAGAACACUGUCAACCCACUAUAAUGGAAAAAAUAAAAAGCAUUAAAAACAUAAAAAGAUACAAUAAAAGUACAGAGAGUACUCAUAUAACAUAAGUAUAAAAGCCAUCAUAUGUGGGACACCCUGAUGUAUAUAAGAUUAAUACAAUUUAAAUGCAGCAUCAGUCCCUGACCUUUCUAGCCUCAUCCGCCUCCCGCUGUCAUCAAGCACAACAUAUCAUAUGUUAACUAAACUACAGGUUUCCCAUGUCUUAUUUGCCUAAUUCAUCUAUCAUCUCUCAGCAGCCAGAGGGAUGCUGUUAAAUGAUAAGUCAAAUCGGGUCAUUACUGUGAUCCAAACUCUUCAGUCAAUAAAGCUUUUAUUUCUAGGACAUGUAAGCUAAACUAUAAGAUGUACAUAAAUUAUAAGAUUAUGAAAUGCUACUAUAUCAGCAACUUAAUCUUAAAAUGGUUCAGAGAACAAAGUACAUAUAUUUACAUACAUACAGAUAAAGCCAAUAUGGCACAAUGUUACAGCUAUUGAAUCUAAGUGAACGUGUGGAUUUUCCUCUCUAUUUUUCUUUUAAUUUCCUUUGUGUUUAAGAUUUUUCAUGAGUAAAAAGUUGUAAGGAAAAAUAAAAUGAUUUGAUGCGUAGAUAGAGGGAUGGACACAGUGACCAAAAUAUACUAAAGCCACUAUACUAAGAUAUAAAUAGUUGAAUCUAGGUUGUGAGUAUAUGAGUCUUCACUGUAUUACUUUUUUCAACUUUUUUGUAUUUUUUGUAUAUUUGAAAAUAUUUAUAAUAGAAAUAUGGGGGAGAGUUGUAAGAAAAAGUUUAAAAAAUAAAUUCUUGUCUAUGUAGAAAAUCAAAAAAACCUAACAAUUGAAAAACAAAAGCAAACAAACAAAAAACAACUCCUGGAACUAAAAAGCAUUUACAGGAAAAUUGCAGGAUACAAGAUCAAUAAAGAAAAGUCAGUCACUGGGAAUUCCCACCAUGGCUCAGUGGUUAACAAAUCUGACUAGGAACCAUGAGGUUGCAGGUUCGCUCCCUGGCCUCGCUCAGUGGGUUAAGGAUCCAGCGUUGCCAUGAGCUGUGGUGUAGGUUGCAGACGUGGCUCGGAUCUCACGUGGCUGUGGCUUUGGCAUAGGCCGGUGGCUACAACCCUGAUUGGA